UCUGGAAAUGUCUGACUACAAAAUGCAGGCCCAAAUGCAGUUGUAGCAUUUCAGCCCCAGAAGAAGUGGCCCAGCUGGGUGGGGCUGUCGAUGCCAGAGAACUUCUAGAGAUUUUCCUUCUGGAUCUGGUUGAUGAUUGUCAAUGUGGCAAUGGAGAGUUUGGAAGCUGCUCCACUCAUCUUCUUAGAAAGGUGGAAAAAAGAUCAUGCUUAUGCAUGAUAAAGGAAUACCAUCUUUGGAUGGAUUUGAUAGGCAGACUGAUGAGUGAUUGGACUGAACUGAAGCAGGAGGGAAUGUAUGCCCUGGUUAUAACUGGAUAAAUGUUAACAUUAUGUCUGAUAUACGAUGUGAGAUACUCAGUUGAAGCCUGAGGCCCAUCACCUGAAGCAGCAGGUCUACAGGAUGAAGGCCUCUUCCACUUGUUUCUAACAGAUACAGUCCUGAGCUCUCUUUUGCCAAUUGGACCCAUGGUACUUGCUGAUGUUGUUGAUCCAUCUUGUCUUCGGUCUCUUCUGUGGACGCUUUUUAUCAAGUGGGAUACAUUCUCUGACUGCCUUGGUCCACCUGCUGUCAGUUCUUCUUGUUGUGUGACCAGCCCUCUUCAAUUUCAAUUGUUUGACUCCAUAAAAGCCCAAAGACCUGACUCUGUGAAUUAGCUUGGGGCUCCAAUAGGGAGCAUCACAAUGGAGGUGGUUGAUCAAUUAACAUCAGAUCCCACCUCCCUCCAUCCUGCUUCCAUCCUCCCCAUCCUUUAAUUGUGCUGCAGUGUUUGACUUUUUUGCACUAAAGUAUUUCUGUAUGUUUUUACCGUAGUUUAUUUCAU
Molecule: long non-coding RNA, 823 nt
Organism: Crotalus tigris (Tiger rattlesnake)
Lineage: Eukaryota; Metazoa; Chordata; Lepidosauria; Squamata; Viperidae
Exons: 4
Source: RefSeq, a predicted model, not a curated record